GAAGCAGGACCAACAGCAGUCACUUGGUUGCUGUCUGCAGCGACUGAAACAUCAUCGGUGAAACUGGUCACAAGUGGAGCCACUCCUAGACUGGACUCUACUGCAAACAAAAGUGUUAAGAAGAGAAGCCACUCAUAGACAGGAUUUGCAUCAGGUACUGGUCCUCCCACAGACAUCACCUGCUUUUAUAACCAUUUUAUGUUUCAAUGUUUUUUUUUGUUAAUUUUCAAAGCUUAAUAUUCUGUAUUUGCUCUGAUUAAAUCAAAUAAAACUCUGCAUCUUA
Molecule: long non-coding RNA, 283 nt
Organism: Epinephelus moara (kelp grouper)
Lineage: Eukaryota; Metazoa; Chordata; Actinopteri; Perciformes; Serranidae
Exons: 4
Source: RefSeq, a predicted model, not a curated record